Molecule: long non-coding RNA, 3824 nt
Organism: Episyrphus balteatus (marmalade hoverfly)
Lineage: Eukaryota; Metazoa; Arthropoda; Insecta; Diptera; Syrphidae
Exons: 3
Source: RefSeq, a predicted model, not a curated record
GAAAAAAAUUGUUUGUCGAAUAUCAUCAUAUGACACAUGUUUUCAAAGUAUUUUUUGAUGCUGAUUCUAAUGACAUAAAAAUAAAGUCAAUACGAUUGCUCUAAAAAAAGUUAUAGCCGAUUGAAAACAAGGGUGCUUGUUUUUUUACUUCAACAGGUAAAAUAUAACCGAAACCCAUGGGAAAAACAUGCUACACUGACGAAAUUCGGGAUGAAGGUUUUAGAUAAAGCAGGGGCAAAGGAUUCAUAAAGUUCUUAAAAUUAUUUUUGGUGAAAGGGUGUUUUUUUGAUGGGUUAAGUUGUGUGUGAGGAAGGUAUCAUAACAGCUGACUUAAAUUUUAUUAAUUUUUAAAACUUGGUGUAAAUGUUUUGGUUGGUAUAAGAAUUAAGAAUCUAAAAAGUGUACAAAAUUAUCUUGAGUGAAAGGGUGUUUUUUUUUAAAGAAAUGAUGAAAUUCGGAAUUAGUACCACAAAAACUAGGAACAAAUUGUUACACCAAUGAAAUUUGGUAAAAAUGUUUCAUUUAUAACAGAAACCAAGAACCCAAAAAGUUUAUACAAAUAUUUUAGGUUAAAGGGUGUUUUUUUGGGAAAUAGGGAAAAAUCCGCGAUAAGUCCGAUAAUAUCAAUGGUAUAAAUGGUACCCUUACGAAAUUCAUUAAAUAUAUUCUCUUUCCAAUGGAAAUUACGAAUAAUGUAAGUCUAUAAAUUUUUUUUAUGUCAAAGGGUGUUUUUUUUAGAAGUAAAGAAAAUAUGGGUAUAUUUGAAAAAGUGUGUAAUACUAGAUUAAUAUUGGGGGUACCCUAUUGAAAUUUAGCAAUUAUGUUACUUUUAAGAUAUGAAACAAGAAUCUAAAGUGCCUAUAAAAAUAUCAUGGUUGCCAGGGUGUUUUUUUGAGUGAAAACAAAAAUGAUGGGUCACCCUAAUGAAAUUUGGUGAAAACAUUGAAUUUGGGAUAGAAAGCAAGAAUAAAGAGUUUUCAUAAAAAAAAUUUUGGUGAAAGGGUGUUUUUUCAAAGAAACAGUAAAAUCUGCAAUUUGUCCCAAAAAGCCAAUGAUUUAUUUUAUUUAUUGUUUUGAUGACAAAUUAAACGUUUAUACUUCAGUUCUUAGACGUUUUACACGAAUCAUUGGCUUUUUGGGACAAAUUGCAGAUUUUACUGUCUCUUUGAAAAAAACACCCUUUCACCAAAAUUUUUUUUAUGAAAACUCUUUAUUCUUGCUUUCUAUCCCAAAUUCAAUGUUUUCACCAAAUUUCAUUAGGGUUCAUUUUUGUUUUCACUCAAAAAAACACCCUGGCAACCAUGAUAUUUUUAUAGGCACUUAAGAUUCUUGUUUCAUAUCUUAAAAGUAACAUAAUUGCUAAAUUUCAAUAGGGUACCCCCAUUAUUAAUUUAGUAUUACACACUUUUUCAAAUAUACCCAUAUUUUCUUUACUUCUAAAAAAAACACCCUUUCACAUAAAAAAAAAUUAUAGACUUACAUUAUUCGUAAUUUCCAUUGGAAAGAGAAUAUAUUUAAUGAAUUUCGUAAGGGUACCAUUUAUACCAUUGAUAUUAUCGGACUUAUCGCGGAUUUUUCCCUAUUUCCCAAAAAAACACCCUUUAACCUAAAAUAUUUGUAUAAACUUUUUGGGUUCUUGGUUUCUGUUAUAAAUGAAACAUUUUUACCAAAUUUCAUUGGUGUAACAAUUUGUUCCUAGUUUUUGUGGUACUAAUUCCGAAUUUCAUCAUUUCUUAAAAAAAAACACCCUUUCACUCAAGAUAAUUUUGUACACUUUUUAGAUUCUUGAUUCUUAUACCAACCAAAACAUUUACACCAAGUUUUAAAAAUUAAUAAAAUUUAAGUCAGCUGUUAUGAUACCUUCCUCACACACAACUUAACCCAUCAAAAAAACACCUUUCACCAAAAAUAAUUUUAAGAACUUUAUGAAUCCUUUGCCCCUGCUUUAUCUAAAACCUUCAUCCCGAAUUUCAUCAGUGUAGCAUGUUUUAACCAUGGGUUUCGGUUAUAUUUUACCUGUUGAAGUAUAAAAACAAGCACCCUUGUUUUCAAUCGGCUAUAACUUUUUUUAGAGCAAUCGUAUUGACUUUAUUUUUAUGUCAUUAGAAUCAGCAUCAAAAAAUACUUUGAAAACAUGUGUCAUAUGAUGAUAUUCGACAAACAAUUUUUUUCUGUAUAUUUUUGACCUUCACCCCCUCCCUCUUGUCCGCGGAAAAACACCCUUCCACCCAACUUUUUUUUAUAGACUUUUUUUGUACUUGGUUCUUAUCCCAAAAGCAAACUUUUUGCCAAGUUUCAUGAGUGUAACAAUUUUUUUUCUUUUAAAUGCCUAUUUUACCUGUACUAUAAGAACUUAUUCUUAAAAUUUAAGAAUCUGUUCAUACUUUUUAUGUUCGAAAUUCAUAUUUUCCAAAAGUUAAGAAAUAAUUCAUUAAAUAUUAUGAAAGUAGGUAUACAUAUUAGACCGAGAGCCCACAGCAAAUUGUGGGAGUGGAGGUAUAACCAAAAUGUGAGUAUGCAGUUCUAUAGCCUUAUGCUCUCUAAUAACGAAUUCAAAAGUCUAGCAGAUUUAAAUCGCGGCAUUAUAUGGUUUUCGGAGGGUUAAACAACGCGACUUUUCAAAUUAAUGUGAGUAGGCUAAAAUAUCACAAAUUCACAUUUUGAAUAUAAAAACUGAUGCUCUGUCAUUUCCCCUAAGCCUGAAUACCUCAAUCUUGGCGAUGCGACAAAUAGAACUCAAGAUAUAAGCUUUUUAAACCAACCAUAUCUGCUCUUUUCUUGGAGAGAUUCGAAUACGAAAAAACAAACAAAGAAUUAAACUGAAAAGUCUCCAAAACAUAGCCGCUUUCACAGCUUAUAUCUUGGGGUCUAAUGAUUGCAUCGUAAAGAUUGAUGUCUUCAGGCUUAGGGGAAAUGACAGAGCAUCUGUUCCUGUAUAAAUAAUAUGAAAUAGUGCGAAUUUAGCCUACUUAUAUGAAUUGGAAAACCCACAUUUUUCAACCCCGUGAAAACUAUAUAAAGCCGCGAUUUAAAGCUGCCAGACUUUUGAAUUCGUUAUUAGAACGCAUAAGGCUAUAAAACUAUAUACUUACAUUUUGGUUAUACCUCCACUCCCAAAAUUUGCUGUGGGCUCUUAGACUAUAUAAUUUAUGAAAAAAUUCUUACGUUUUGAGUGUUUAAGUAUAUUUUCUUAAGGUCUAUGUAUUUUUUCAUCAAUCUAGAAAAUAAUAACUGUUGUUUUGAAUCUAUGCCUAAGAAGGUUUUCUCUGCAGAUUUAGUUUAAAAUCUGAUAUUCAAAGUUGACGGUCGUUGUCGAAAGAAGUUUGUGAAUAAAACACAAUAUUUAUUUCCCGUUGCCUCUUCCCCAUAUACUCAGAUAAGUAUAAAAACAUAAUUUGUUAAACAUUUCUUUCUUUUAUAUAUUAAAUAUAUUUAAAAUUUUUUUGUUAUAGGUACAUUAUUUAGAUACUUUUGUGAAACGAGUAGGCACGUGAGUAAUCUUCAAUUUAAGACCAUGAUAAUUUCGAAAAAAAGCGAAAUAUAAUAGAACCGGCAAAAGGGCACUAAAUACUGCACCGUAAAAACCAUCUUAAAGGCUAUUUGCAACAGAUCCAGUACACCCGAAGUUGUCAUUGUCAUUGUCAUCAAAAUAAAGCAAACACAUCAUGUUUGGAAAACAUAGAAUCUACUGCAGAACCUAAUGCUGCCGAUUACAAUAAGAUGAUACAUCAAUUAAAAAAGAAAAAUUAAAUUAAAAAAUAAAUGUAUAGUGAUAUUUAUAGUGAAAGUGAACAAUAAAACAUUUUUAUAACGUUUAAACUCAA